Molecule: ribosomal RNA, 1502 nt
Filed under: Escherichia coli
Lineage: Bacteria; Pseudomonadati; Pseudomonadota; Gammaproteobacteria; Enterobacterales; Enterobacteriaceae
Description: partial 23S ribosomal RNA
Rfam family: Bacterial large subunit ribosomal RNA
Source: RNAcentral
GUUAAGCGACUAAGCGUACACGGUGGAUGCCCUGGCAGUCAGAGGCGAUGAAGGACGUGCUAAUCUGCGAUAAGCGUCGGUGAGGUGAUAUGAACCGUUAUAACCGGCGAUUUCCGAAUGGGGAAACCCAGUGUGUUUCGACACACUAUCAUUAACUGAAUCCAUAGGUUAAUGAGGCGAACCGGGGGAACUGAAACAUCUAAGUACCCCGAGGAAAAGAAAUCAACCGAGAUUCCCCCAGUAGCGGCGAGCGAACGGGGAGGAGCCCAGAGCCUGAAUCAGUGUGUGUGUUAGUGGAAGCGUCUGGAAAGGCGCGCGAUACAGGGUGACAGCCCCGUACACAAAAAUGCACAUAUUGUGAGCUCGAUGAGUAGGGCGGGACACGUGGUAUCCUGUCUGAAUAUGGGGGGACCAUCCUCCAAGGCUAAAUACUCCUGACUGACCGAUAGUGAACCAGUACCGUGAGGGAAAGGCGAAAAGAACCCCGGCGAGGGGAGUGAAAAAGAACCUGAAACCGUGUACGUACAAGCAGUGGGAGCCUCUUUAUGGGGUGACUGCGUACCUUUUGUAUAAUGGGUCAGCGACUUAUAUUCUGUAGCAAGGUUAACCGAAUAGGGGAGCCGAAGGGAAACCGAGUCUUAACUGGGCGUUAAGUUGCAGGGUAUAGACCCGAAACCCGGUGAUCUAGCCAUGGGCAGGUUGAAGGUUGGGUAACACUAACUGGAGGACCGAACCGACUAAUGUUGAAAAAUUAGCGGAUGACUUGUGGCUGGGGGUGAAAGGCCAAUCAAACCGGGAGAUAGCUGGUUCUCCCCGAAAGCUAUUUAGGUAGCGCCUCGUGAAUUCAUCUCCGGGGGUAGAGCACUGUUUCGGCAAGGGGGUCAUCCCGACUUACCAACCCGAUGCAAACUGCGAAUACCGGAGAAUGUUAUCACGGGAGACACACGGCGGGUGCUAACGUCCGUCGUGAAGAGGGAAACAACCCAGACCGCCAGCUAAGGUCCCAAAGUCAUGGUUAAGUGGGAAACGAUGUGGGAAGGCCCAGACAGCCAGGAUGUUGGCUUAGAAGCAGCCAUCAUUUAAAGAAAGCGUAAUAGCUCACUGGUCGAGUCGGCCUGCGCGGAAGAUGUAACGGGGCUAAACCAUGCACCGAAGCUGCGGCAGCGACACUAUGUGUUGUUGGGUAGGGGAGCGUUCUGUAAGCCUGUGAAGGUGGCCUGUGAGGGUUGCUGGAGGUAUCAGAAGUGCGAAUGCUGACAUAAGUAACGAUAAAGCGGGUGAAAAGCCCGCUCGCCGGAAGACCAAGGGUUCCUGUCCAACGUUAAUCGGGGCAGGGUGAGUCGACCCCUAAGGCGAGGCCGAAAGGCGUAGUCGAUGGGAAACAGGUUAAUAUUCCUGUACUUGGUGUUACUGCGAAGGGGGGACGGAGAAGGCUAUGUUGGCCGGGCGACGGUUGUCCCGGUUUAAGCGUGUAGGCUGGUUUUCCAGGCAAAUCCGGAAAA